UGUGUAACACGCUUAGGAUCAUUUGAGAUUAUGUGAUCAAUCAAGGUCUCACUGUGAGGUGUAACUCUUGUUGGCUUUUGCACGUGCUGUGUUAGGUUAAACGUGUUCAAUAAAUCUGUAUACUGUUUUGUUAACGGCGCAUUUGGCUUCAGCACGUCAAUAUUUAAAUCCCCAGUAACAAGCAAUAAACCGUCCCACGAAGUUGACAGAUCCGCCAACAUGCUCUCCAUUUGGGAUAUCCACUGUUGGGUAUCUAGUAUUCUUGUGGAUCUGUAUAUCGUUCCCAUUAAUAAGUGACUAUGUUU
This is a long non-coding RNA of Orbicella faveolata, 305 nucleotides long. NCBI's taxonomy places the organism in Eukaryota, Metazoa, Cnidaria, Anthozoa, Scleractinia, Merulinidae. The record is from RefSeq and is a predicted model, not a curated record.